UAAAGGGGGGAAUUAAUAAAUUAAUUUUAAUAAAAAAAUUUUUAAUAAAUACAUUUAAUGGGGGUUAAAGUAUUUUUAAAGAAAAAAUUGAUUAGUUUAUAGUGAAUUAGUAUUGUGAAAGAAUUUUGAAAUAAAUGAAAAUUAAAUUUAGAAUAAGUAAUUUUAAUUUAAUGUAUCUUGUGUAUCAGAGUUUAUUAAAAAAAAUUUUUAUAAAAAAAAAUCUCGAAUUUAAAAGAGAUAAUUAAUUAAUAAAGUUAUUGUUGCAUAAAUAUUUUAAAUAAUUAAUUGGAAAUGAAAUGUUAAUCGUUUUUAAAUAUAUCUAGUUUUUUUAGAAAAAAAUUUAAUUUUAAAAUAAUAAAAAAAAAAAAUUAAUUAAUUAAUUUUUUUUUUUAUUAUUUUUAUAUUUUAAGGGAUAAGCUUUAAAAUAAAUUUAAUAUAAUUAUUAAUUAAAAAUUAUUGAAAAUUAUAUAAUUUAUAUUGUUAAAAAAUUUUAAUUUAUUAAAAAUAAUUUCAUUAAAAAUAAAAUUUAAUUUUAAAUUUAUUUUUUUUUAUAAAAAAAAAUUUAUUAAUAAGAAAAAAAUUAUAAUAAUGAUAAAAUUAGUAUAUAAAAUUUAAUUUUUUAAAAAAAAAAUAUAAAUUAAAAUUAAUUAAAAGGAAUUCGGCAAAAAUUCAUAUUCACUUGUUUAUCAAAAACAUGUCUUUUUGAAAAUAAUAUAAAGUCUAAUCUGCCCACUGAUUUUAUAUUGAAGGGCUGCAGUAUUUUGACUGUACAAAGGUAGCAUAAUCAUUAGUCAUUUAAUUGAUGACUUGUAUGAAAGAUUGGAUGAAAUAUGAACUGUCUCUUAAUUAAAUUAUAAAAUUUAAUUUUUUAUUUAAAAAGAUAAAAUAAAUUAAAAAGACGAGAAGACCCUAUAGAGUUUUAUAUUUGAUAUAAUUAAAGUUAUUUAUAAAAUAAAAAAAAAAUUAAUUAUAUUAAAUAUUUUAUUGGGGUGAUAGAAAAAUUAAAAUAACUUUUUUUUUAAUCUUUAACAAUUAUAAUUGAAUAAAUGAUCCAAUUUUAUUGAUUAUAAGAAAAAAUUACCUUAGGGAUAACAGCGUAAUUUUUUUUUUUAGUUCAAAUAAAAAAAAGAGUUUGCGACCUCGAUGUUGGAUUAAGAUAAAAUUUAAAUGCAGAAGUUUAAUAUUUUUGAUCUGUUCGAUCAUUAAAAUCUUACAUGAUCUGAGUUCAGACCGGUGUGAGCCAGGUUGGUUUCUAUCUUUUAGAAAUUAAAAUAUUUUAGUACGAAAGGAUUAAAUAUUUAAAUUAAAUUUAAUUAAUUGAAUUUUAGUAAAUUAUAAAUAAAAUAAGAAUUA
Molecule: ribosomal RNA, 1353 nt
Filed under: Macdunnoughia hybrida
Lineage: Eukaryota; Metazoa; Arthropoda; Insecta; Lepidoptera; Noctuidae
Description: 16S ribosomal RNA
Source: RNAcentral